This 413-nucleotide ribosomal RNA is filed under the name Blastocystis sp. Its description in RNAcentral is "SSU rRNA". It matches the Rfam family "Eukaryotic small subunit ribosomal RNA", at positions 477 to 907 of the family's 1831-position model. The record is from RNAcentral. Lineage: Eukaryota; Bigyra; Opalinata; Blastocystidae.
ACAAUGCGGGACUGUUAGUCUUGCAAUUGGAUUGAGAACAACGUACAACUCUUAUCGAUAAGCCAUUGGAGGGCAAGUCUGGUGCCAGCAGCCGCGGUAAUUCCAGCUCCAAUAGCGUAUAUUAACGUUGUUGCAGUUAAAAAGCUCGUAGUUGAAGUGAGGGAGUGUGUGUUCAUGAGAGCUAGUCUCGAGUGUUCACAACCUCCCCCCUCCAAUCGGUGUAGUGGGGUAUUCAGUUAUUUCACUACUCCUUUGGUCGUUUACUGUGAGAAAAUUAGAGUGUUCAAAGCGGGCGUUUGUUUGAAUAGAUUAGCAUGGAAUAAUGAUUGAAGGCUUUCGUGUUCGAUUUGAUUGGUUUGUUCAUGGAAGCAAGGUUAAAAGGAACAGUUGGGGGUAUUCAUAUUCACUAGUUA